CUCCUCUAUCUCCCCUUUAGGUCUGGGUGGUCCCACAUUACCAGGGGGUCCCUGUGCCCCUAUCCCUCCUUAAAAAACACAAACAACAUACAUUUAAUUUUGUACAGAUCAUUCCCUAAACUGGGUGUAUUUUUGUUUCAACUGGAAAUUGUGCAAUGUCUUGAUGUAGAGAUUCAACUGUGAGGUCAGCAGACAACCUGGGCAGUGCCAUCUAGUGGACUCUGUGAGGAGAACAAGCUCAGACUCAUUGGGCUUGCACGGCGGGGGAGCUGACAUCAACCCAACCUCUUGCCCUGGGCUCGUUUUCAUCUGUUGCUUAUAAUCAGAACAGAGUUUCCAUCCAGAAACAACCUCUAGCCCCUAGGAUCUGUGUAGAUCUGAAAGGGUGGGAUAGGUAUGGCCAAAGUUCCACAUAACCGUUUUCCAUUACAGUGUAGGCUAUUCAUAGAGUAUUCUUUCCCUGUUUUGGACAGGGAAAGAAUUUCUGUGUUUUGAAUGGUACUGUUAUUCCACCCCACAGAAUACAGUAACAUACUGUAUCUUUGGAGCUCCAAAAAACUUUUGACCACUAGUGGGUACAUGUUAUUGUUGUUUCUGGCUCAUUAACAUAUUUUGAGGCGUGGCUUGUAAGAGGUUAUAUUUGUUGCACUGGUGAGUGAGACUGCUGUAACAAUUUAGAUCCCACAUGGUUAUUGUGCCCCAUUGCAGUAAUUAUUAACCACUGUAAGUUUAAGCUGUUGGAGGGGGGUUGAUGGGUAUUUUUUUAUUAUGUUACCUAUGUUGAUGUACUGGUGCAUCAAUUGACUCUAGGUGAUUAAACGGUUGAGCAUUUUACUAUGUCCUUUAGGUCUGUUUUGCCUUGUAGUCGCUGCCAGUUUGGAAUCCUUUGUUAAGGCCUCCAGAAGUGCAAGUGAUAUAAAACACCAAAUGUGAAUUAAUAUGUUGUAAUGCGUGAACACUUUACCCAGCAGCCAACCUGCUUGCACCAAUCCAUUGUCCUACCCUCAAUGAAUUUCAUUCAUCCAUUCGUUCAUAAAUUAAUUCCGAAGUACUUGCUUUGAUACCGUAUUGAUAUUACAGUAAGUGUACUGUAACAUGAAAUACUGAAUUUUACUUGCCACUGAGCUGCCUGUAAGUCAAAAUCAUGGCAACCCCUUUACAGUGUUUUAGAGAGCAUUUUGCCUUCACUCAUUUAUGUCAGAUCUAUGAAGUGUUUAGAGUGUAGGGGCUAGAGGUUGUUUCUGGGUGGGGCCAGAGUUACGGGUAAACCACUCUGCAAGUGUUGCAUCUGCACUUUUUAAAUAUCUAUCAGUCACAGCUAAAACAUUCAACAAUAGUUGCUGAUACAGCAAAGAUACUGAGCUCUGUGCAUGAUGAUUUAUAGUGUAUACCGAUUUAUAGCCUCUCCUACUUUAUGGUCAGGACUUGUUGAUACCUAGCUCUUUAAAGUCUGGGGUUAGUCCAAGAUGUACUCUUAAGGAGCCUUCCAUUACUCCUUAAGGUCCAAGGAUCUUAUAUGUUAUUUUCAGAGGUACACUGGCUCUGGCAGCCAAAACAGCCAAAUACUCCAUCUAAAAGUGAAUAGAUUCUCAAUUUCAAUACGAUUCUAGAAAAAUAAAGCCUGUUACUUUUAAGUCACAUCAAAAUAAUUCCACAACAAAAUAUACUUACUGUUUUAAAUUAAUCUGCUUUCACAGUUGCAGGCGACAGAAUGUUUCAGUGACAACACGUUUCUGGUGGCCGCCUUCUGUUACACACAGGUCUUCAGAGCAUGCUAGAUAGAGCAUGCUAAUUAGCACAGGUGGUCCCUCUGUCUUCCGUCUGUCUUCUGUAAACAAACGCUGUAACAUGGAGAUAUGGCCGUGUGGGAAACAUAACCCUAACCCUAUGAAGGUCUAUGGAAAGUGAUUUCUCG
Molecule: long non-coding RNA, 1915 nt
Organism: Oncorhynchus tshawytscha (Chinook salmon)
Lineage: Eukaryota; Metazoa; Chordata; Actinopteri; Salmoniformes; Salmonidae
Source: Ensembl